AUGUAUGAGAGGUACAGGAAAAAAAUACAAACUAGAUGGAUGUACGUCCUUAUAAAUGCGUCCAUAGCAUGUCGGUCUGAUUGCAAAGGUGCAAACGCGAGCCUCGGCGCAGAGGUCAGCCCACGGCGAGAGCUCAGCGGACGGUCGGAGCGUCUCCACCUCCCCGUGGGGUUGUCCAAGGAGUAUCUUGUCUUUCCCAGCAGCCGAGGCCCUUCACCCAAGAUGCAUCUUCUGGGAGACCCUGACGCUGUCUCUGUCUUUAAGGAGGACAGCAUCGUCCCAGGAUCUCAAUUCCUUCCAGCUCCCGAGUGGACCUCGGGAGUGUUUCCAACACGCCGAGCUCCCGUGCACUCUGCAAACACCGCUGGGCGCUGGGCAGGCGCCAGUGAACCUGAUCAGCCCUGCCUCCCCGCUGUUUCAGGAGGACAAGGUGCGUGAGCACCCUGAAAGGGAGAAAAAGAGAGGCAGCGGGCCAUGCACUUCUUAGGUGAGCAUACCUGGAGGUCUUCCCGGAGGAGGGGGUGGGGGAGCUGUUUCAAAGGUGCCGUUGACGUAGGAGCCGUAGGAGAAUGAAACACCCCCGUAGUCAGACAGCAGCACAUAUGAGGCAAAGUUAAGUAACCUCCCCUCCAGGCAGAGAACAAAAGCAGUUAGCCCAGCCCGCACACAAGGCCGUCAGAGCCGCACAAAGAGCUUUACAACAGCCCAAAUCGGCCGCCACCGGGACUAGCCAGCUUCACCGUGCUCGUCCCUCUGCUCCCGAAGCCACCGUUUGGGACACGUCCCUGCCCCAACUGUGAAAGGGACACAAAAACCAGCUGUUUCUGCUAUUGAACCCCGAGCUCAAGCCUCCCCCUGCCGAGCGAGACAGCUCGGGUGUUACUUUCACUUUGCAAACCGGGCCUGACAACAAAGCCUUCCCUGAGCUCUGCCGGGAGGCGCUGCCGGCAUUUGGCGAGACACCGUCCCCAGGAGCUGGUCCCGAGCCCCAUUUCUGGGUUCCCGGGACACGCAUGGGCAGAUUUCUGGGGUCUUUUCCUUUCUGUGCUCCGACACACGGGUGUGCACACCCGGCCCGGCCACAAAGCAACCCCUCGCUCUCCAGGACCUUCCCUUUGCAAAGCUCUCUGAACCGGGCCCUCCUCCUCCUGGAGCUCAGACAGUUCUGAGGCUUUCUGGUUUGCGGGGGAAACGGGGAAGGAAAUCUGGGAUCUGGGCAGGAGCUAAGACCUUAUUUCUGCUUUUUCGCUGGUUCACCUUGGAGACGCUCUGGGUGCAUCAUUGUGCACAGGACAGGCAGGGAGUGUGGGGUCUCCAGGUGUGGGGACUUACUAGGUCCCUGCGGGAGGAGUACUGGUGCUGGGCACCAUGUCAGGCAAAACUCUCUGGAAUUCACCGUGUGUGUUCCUUCACCCGGCGACCCUUAUCCAUGUGCAUUUUCUCUAAAGAAAACCCCAGAUCUUUCAAAUCCACAGAGGGUGGCCCCCGGCUGCCCCAAACUCCUCUCCUGCUCACGGAGACUCUCCUUCUCGCUUGGCUUUGCCCCUUUUGCUGCUCCCNNNNNNNNNNNNNNNNNNNNNNNNNNNNNNNNNNNNNNNNNNNNNNNNNNNNNNNNNNNNNNNN
Molecule: long non-coding RNA, 1623 nt
Organism: Mustela putorius furo (domestic ferret)
Lineage: Eukaryota; Metazoa; Chordata; Mammalia; Carnivora; Mustelidae
Source: Ensembl